GUAUAUGUAGUUAAGUGAUAGAAUUCUCGCCUUCUAUGUAGGAGACCCAGGUUCGAUUCCAGGCUAUUACA
RNAcentral lists this transfer RNA (71 nucleotides) under Loxodonta africana (African savanna elephant). It matches the Rfam family "tRNA". From Rfam's summary of the family: Transfer RNA (tRNA) molecules are approximately 80 nucleotides in length. The record is from Rfam by way of RNAcentral. Lineage: Eukaryota; Metazoa; Chordata; Mammalia; Proboscidea; Elephantidae.